RNAcentral lists this long non-coding RNA (1156 nucleotides) under Nicotiana tabacum (common tobacco). RNAcentral describes it as "long non-coding RNA (NTAB_LNC010153)". The record is from RNAcentral. Lineage: Eukaryota; Viridiplantae; Streptophyta; Magnoliopsida; Solanales; Solanaceae.
GGUUCUCUGGUCUUAUUUCGAUGCCAUGUACAACAACCGGUCUUACUCUAUAACAAAAAUGAGGCUGCAUAGGAUGGGAAGUUUUUAAGGGUGUUGCCUCCUAUGGGAAGUUUUUAUGGGUGUUGCCUCUUAUUUGCAUGCCUGAUACUUCUGUAUUCUUCUACUGCCAGAGCAACAGCCGUAACUGAUCGAAUUUUGAGGAUGAGGAAUAGUUCACCAAGCUCGGUGGAGAAUUUGCUGUAUUAUCCUCAGUCUAAGCUAAUCUCUUUGUUAGUACUCCUCUGUAAGUGAAUCGUAACAGCACUGUUCUUUUAGUUGCAUACUUUGUUAGUACUCCUCAGUGGACUGUUAUCUAAUGUGGCAUGAUGCGUUGGCAUAAGGAAAGCUAGAUGCAAUAGCAGAUUCAGUCGGGAGAUGCCAUCUACUUUAGAAUGGUGCACCAGAUUUUCCAUGAAAGUAUUCAAGUGUUGCACUAGAAGUUUCAGCUGGUUGAUCCAUUCAUGUCUUGGAACAAUUUGUGCGAUCCUGUUUGUUGAGAAAGCAAAAUGCAAACUGAUGGUGCCUAAAGUACAUUGGGCGGGUCCUCCUAAGACUCUAUUCAAGAUCAACACAAAUGGGAGCUCAAACAGGAAACUGGGACUACGUGGAGGAGGUGGUGUUAUUAGAUCAUACACUGGAAUUGAUAGCAGCUUUUGCAUCAGCUUUCAGUAAAGGAACUACCAAUAGUGCUGAAUUUAAAACUAAUUGGAUCAAUGCUAAAUCAGACCCGCCAUUUGGAAUCUUAUCUCAGUAAUUGAAAGCAUUAAGGUAAGCUGAAGGUUUUGGAAUAUGUGCAGCUUCAACAUUGCUUCAGAGAAGCUAAUUUCACACUGAGUAAUGAAGGAUUGAAGUUUGCAGGACAGAUUUGGUAUGAUGAAUUUGAGCAGCUUCUAGCAAAACAAAGGCAGGCACAAAUGAUCUUAAUAGCAAGACAAAUGCGUUGGUUUUCGGAUUAGGCAAAUCAAAAGUAGUUUUUGUUGUAUACCAUGAAUUGUAUGUACAUCACAAUGGUGUAGGAAGUUAGAAAAUUUCUAAAGUUUAAGUAAACUAAUUCAGAAAGAUGUAAUUAGACUAAUUAUACAUACAAUUGUAUAUCCACACUUCAGAUCUUUGCACC